This 253-nucleotide ribosomal RNA is filed under the name uncultured bacterium. Its description in RNAcentral is "partial 16S ribosomal RNA". It matches the Rfam family "Bacterial small subunit ribosomal RNA", at positions 524 to 776 of the family's 1533-position model. The record is from RNAcentral.
UACGUAGGGUGCAAGCGUUGUCCGGAAUUAUUGGGCGUAAAGAGCUCGUAGGCGGCCUGUUGCGUCCGCUGUGAAAUCCCGGGGCUCAACCCCGGGCCUGCAGUGGAUACGGGCUGGCUAGAGGCAGGCAGGGGAGAACGGAAUUCCUGGUGUAGCGGUGAAAUGCGCAGAUAUCAGGAAGAACACCCGUGGCGAAGGCGGCUCUCUGGGACGGUACUGACGCUGAGACGCGAAAGCGUGGGGAGCGAACAGG